Molecule: ribosomal RNA, 371 nt
Filed under: Bacillus pumilus
Lineage: Bacteria; Bacillati; Bacillota; Bacilli; Caryophanales; Bacillaceae
Description: bacterial SSU rRNA
Rfam family: Bacterial small subunit ribosomal RNA
Source: RNAcentral
GAAGGGAGCUUGCUCCCGGAUGUUAGCGGCGGACGGGUGAGUAACACGUGGGUAACCUGCCUGUAAGACUGGGAUAACUCCGGGAAACCGGAGCUAAUACCGGAUAGUUCCUUGAACCGCAUGGUUCAAGGAUGAAAGACGGUUUCGGCUGUCACUUACAGAUGGACCCGCGGCGCAUUAGCUAGUUGGUGGGGUAAUGGCUCACCAAGGCGACGAUGCGUAGCCGACCUGAGAGGGUGAUCGGCCACACUGGGACUGAGACACGGCCCAGACUCCUACGGGAGGCAGCAGUAGGGAAUCUUCCACAAUGGACGAAAGUCUGAUCGAGCAACGCCGCGUGAGUGAUGAAUGNUUUCGGAUUGUAAAACUCU